This 1862-nucleotide long non-coding RNA is filed under the name Homo sapiens (human). RNAcentral describes it as "HSALNT0346412". The record is from RNAcentral. Lineage: Eukaryota; Metazoa; Chordata; Mammalia; Primates; Hominidae.
CCCUCUCCCUCUCCCUCUCCCUCUCCCUCUCCCUCCACGGUCUCCCUCUGAUGCCGAGCCAAGGCUGGACGGUACUGCUGCCAUCUCGGCUCACUGCAACCUCCCUGCCUGAUUCUCCUGCCUCAGCCUGCCGAGUGCCUGCGAUUGCAGGCGCGCACCGCCACGCCUGACUGGUUUUCGGUUUUUUUUGGUGGAGACGGGGUUUCGCUGUGUUGGCCGGGCUGGUCUCCAGCUCCUAGCCGCGAGUGAUCCGCCAGCCUCGGCCUCCCGAGGUGCCGGGAUUGCAGAUGGAGUCUCGUUCACUCAGUGCUCAAUGGUGCCCAGGCUGGAGUGCAGUGGCGUGAUCUCGGCUCGCUGCAACCACCUCCCAGCCGCCUGCCUUGGCCUCCCGGAGAGCCGAGAUUGCAGCCUCUGCCCAGCAGCCACCCCGUCUGGGAAGUGAGGAGCGUCUCUGCUUGGCCACCCAUCGUCUGGGAUGUGAGGAGCCCCUCUGCCUGGCUGCCCAGUCUGGAAAGUGAGGAGCGUCUCUGCCCGGCCGCCAUCCCAUCUGGGAAGCGAGGAGCGCCUCUUCCCCGCCGCCAUCCCAUCUAGGAAGUGAGGAGCGUCUCUGCCCGGCCGCCCAUCGUCUGAGAUGUGGGGAGCACCUCUGCCCCGCCGCCCUGUCUGGGAUGUGAGGAGUGCCUCUGCUGGGCCGCAGCCCUGUCUGGGAGGUGGGGAGCGUCUCUGCCCGGCCGCUCCGUCUGAGAAGUGAGGAAACCCUCUGCCUGGCAACCGCCCCGUCUGAGAAGUGAGGAGCCCCUCCGUCCGGCAACCACCCCGUCUGGGAAAUGAGGAGCGUCUCCGCCCAGCAGCCACCCCGUCCGGGAGGGAGGUGGGGGGGGUCAGCCCCCCGCCCGGCCAGCCACCCCGUCCGGGAGGUGAGGGGCUCCUCUGCCCGGCCGCCCCUACUGGGAAGUGAGGAGCCCCUCUGCCCGGCCAGACGCCCCGUCCAGGAGGGAGGUGGGGGGGGUCAGCCCCCCUUCCGGCCGGCCGCCCCGUCCGGGAGGUGAGGGGCGCCUCUGCCCGGCCGCCCCUACUGGGAAGUGAGGACCCCUCUGCCCGGCCAGCCGCCCCGUCCGGGAGGGAGGUGGGGGGGACAGCCCCCCGCCCAGCCAGCCGCCCUAUCCAGGAGGUGAGGGGCGCCUCUGCCCGGCCGCCCCUACUGGGAAGUGAGGAGCCCCUCUGCCUGGCCAGCCGCCCCGUCCGGGAGGGUGGUGGGGGGGUCAGCCCCCGCCCGGCCAGCCGCCCCAUCCGGGAGGUGAGGGGCGCUUCUGCCCGGCCGCCCCUACUGGGAAGUGAGGAGCCCCUCUGCCCGGCCACGACCCCGUCUGGGAGGUGUGCCCAGCGGCUCAUUGGGGAUGGGCCAUGAUGACAAUGGCGGUUUUGUGGAAUAGAAAGGCGGGAAGGGUGGGGAAAAAAUUGAGAAAUCGGAUGGUUGCCGGGUCUGUGUGGAUAGAAGUAGACAUGGGAGACUUUUCAUUUUGUUCUGUACUAAGAAAAAUUCUUCUGCCUUGGGAUCCUGUUGAUCUGUGACCUUAUCCCCAACCCUGUGCUCUCUGAAACAUGUGCUGUGUCCACUCAGGGUUAAAUGGAUUAAGGGUGGUGCAAGAUGUGCUUUGUUAAACAGAUGCUUGAAGGCAGCAUGCUCGUUAAGAGUCAUCACCACUCCCUAAUCUUAAGUACCCAGGGACACAAACACUGCGGAAGGCCAAGGCCGCAGGGUCCUCUGCCUAGGAAAACCAGAGACCUUUGUUCACUUGUUUAUCUGCUGACCUUCCCUCCACUAUUGUCCUAUGACCCUGCCAAAUCCCAACACCCAAGAA